Molecule: transfer RNA, 60 nt
Filed under: Liposcelis bostrychophila
Lineage: Eukaryota; Metazoa; Arthropoda; Insecta; Psocodea; Liposcelididae
Description: tRNA-Lys
Source: RNAcentral
UAAGAAUGGCCGAGCAGGUGAUAAAUUUUUAAUUUAUUAACAGAAUUUCUUCUUUCUUAA